This 423-nucleotide ribosomal RNA is filed under the name uncultured bacterium. RNAcentral's name for it is "bacterial SSU rRNA". It matches the Rfam family "Bacterial small subunit ribosomal RNA", at positions 207 to 622 of the family's 1533-position model. The record is from RNAcentral.
AAGACCUUGCGCUUUGGGAGCGGCCGAUGUCUGAUUAGCUAGUUGGUGGGGUAAAGGCCUACCAAGGCGACGAUCAGUAGUUGGUCUGAGAGGACGACCAGCCACACUGGGACUGAGACACGGCCCAGACUCCUACGGGAGGCAGCAGUGGGGAAUUUUGGACAAUGGGCGCAAGCCUGAUCCAGCAAUGCCGCGUGUGUGAAGAAGGCCUGCGGGUUGUAAAGCUCUUUCAGUCGAGAAGAAAAAGCUGCAGUGAAUAACUGUAGUUCAUGACGGUAUCGACAGAAGAAGCACCGGCUAACUACGUGCCAGCAGCCGCGGUAAUACGUAGGGUGCGAGCGUUAAUCGGAAUUACUGGGCGUAAAGGGUGCGCAGGCGGCUUUGUAAGUCAGAUGUGAAAUCCCCGGGCUUAACCUGGGAAUU